CAGACCAGACGCGUCGGGGGCGUGGCUUAUCGCUCCCGCUUCUUUAGGUGAAAAAUAGUUUUCUUUUUCUCCAUUCUUUUUUCGCCAUCGACCAUGGAAGGAAUUGCGUUAUACUUGUUGUGGAAAGCCGAAAAGCGUCGUAACAUCCAACGCCGUCGUGUUUGGGUUCACAACAUCAUCCGUAAAGGGUUAGGGUUAGCUCAGUCCACUAAAAAGUGGAAGUACUGGGGGCGGAGGGCCGUGGAAGUCAGGACCGCAGAGUACAGAGAAGAGGAAAGAGCAGAGGCAGCAGCAGGGCCAUCUCACAGGGCAGAUGAACCAGAUCCCUCGCUGGAUGACCUAGCUCCUCCUCCUUCUCUUCCUCCUCCACCUCCUCCAUCUCCUCCUCCUCCUGCUGCUGGUCCCUCUAGACCGCCCUCAGGAAGAAGAAGGGCCCAGAGAAGGCCGCAAAUCUUCGUGAGUGAGAGAGAGAGGGAGAUUGAGGAUCUGCUCCUCGUCACUCUCAGGAGAAGUGCCGCUCCUCCACCACCUCCACCUCCAUCGGCGAUAGAAUCAUUUUUUAGAACACUGGUUCCUUCCAUGGAGAGGAUGUCACCCCAGCGUUUGGAAUUUGUCAAAUUUGAAAUUCACAAAAUAGUUUUUGAGAACAGCCCUGUUGUGCUGAAUUUGGAACAUUUGGAAUAGACCUCUGGGGUACAAUCUCUCCAUGGAAGGAACCAGUGUUUCAAUUUUUUGUAAAUAGUUAGAUUUUGUAAAUGUUCUUAUUGUUAUUAUUGUAUAUAUUAUAUUAUUAUUAUAUAUAUUAUAAUUGUGUUCAAAUAAAUGUAUACAUUUAGUCAAUGUUA
Pseudoliparis swirei is the source of this 845-nucleotide long non-coding RNA. RefSeq lists it as uncharacterized. The record is from RefSeq and is a predicted model, not a curated record. Lineage: Eukaryota; Metazoa; Chordata; Actinopteri; Perciformes; Liparidae. The transcript is spliced from 3 exons.